GAAGAAACAAAAUAGUGACAUUUUCAACACCAAGUGGUAUAUAGCAAUAUGGCUUUAAACUUGACAUUUACAAUAUUGCCAGGGAACUCUUAAAUCUGAAGCAUUUUUAAAAUUUCUUCCUCAGUAUGCAGACAAAGUUCUGCAAGGCAUUCACAUUGUUGUGGGCCAGUUUGGACCGUUUCCAGCCUAUUUGCAAUAGGAGGGGAAACCCUGAUAUUUUUUGGACGCAUCUAGGGAGCGGCUGACUGCUCCCUAGUGUUCGCGAACGGCUGCCAGAAAAGAAAAAGAUUUGGUCCUCACCGUUCCAGAAAAGGAAAGUGCUCCACGAGUAGCAACAUAUGCGUUCUAACCCAAUAAACCACGCGUCGUACGCGGCCUCCAAGCCAUCACGUGCCCUCCCAUGCCCUCCUGGCCACCAACUUCUUCUCCCCAUGCCCUACUUGCUCCCACCUUCCUUCCCAUUAAACUAGGGGUUUUCAGGUCUGGAUCUCCAUCGCCAGAGCUGCCAUGGCAGAUGAAUCAAUGUGUAAUAACAAUUGCUACAAAAAAGAAAGAAAGAGCGAGCACAAACAUAUCAGAAAGUACCCCACAGAACCAAAAUAGGGUGAAAAAAAGAAGUGAUCACUUCUGCCUCCUGUUCAGAUCCUCCCCCUCCUUAACUUUCCCUUUCCCCUCUCACCAAAUUUCUCCUUGCAAAAAUAACUUCUUCAUAGUUGAAGAGAGCAUAAACAGAGAUAAAAAAAUAGGGAGAUCUGGUACAUGUGCAACUGAUUUUCAUGCAACUUCAUCAUGGGACUAGCCAACUUUUGCAACAAUGUGUGCAAAAAAACACAGAAAAUGUGCCAACAUAUAGUAGAGAGGACAUAGAGAGUCUUAUUUCACACAUAAUUCAGAAGAACCGAUGUAAAUGUAGCAAAAAAAGAAAAGAAAAGAAAAGUAUAUUGUAGGUACUAUGAAAACAUAACCACCAACUAGACAAGAAUCUGGUUUGCAUUUGUUUUUUCCUUUGAUCUUUCCACACACUAGUAUACAUGACUUUGUAGCUUAGAAUCGUGAGCAAAAAUCUACAGCAGCUCAUCCACCCCCAUACCCUAUAAAACCUGCAUAUGAUACAAAAAAGAAUCCUGGGAAGAAAUGAACCAACUCUCGCUUGUGUUUGUGCAACUUAAAGUACAAGUGUGCAAAUUGACAACACUUCUAUAUCCAUCUACUUGUGGUGUUUGGAUUUCAGUAGUUAGCAUCUUCAACUCAUAUAGAAGUAGAAGAUGCCAACUCAUAUAAUUUCAUAUUCAUUUUGGUUUUAGCUAAACUUCUGUAUGCAGAAUUCCAAAAACACUUUAUGCUGGUUGUUGUACAACUUCAUCAUCUAUUUUGCACAAUUGUAAGUACUCCUGGAUGCAAUUCAUGUUGCAGGUUUCUACAACUAUGUAAUGAAUUUUGAACUGAUGAACAUGAAUUUAGCAUGUCUGAACACAAAAUGAAAAAUAUUGAAUUUUAAAAGAUUAUAAUCUACCAAAUAAGUAGUGCAACUACAUUCAAGUGCAUCUGGAAACCUAGAAAAUCAUAUUCAUGUGAACACAUGAGGAUGCCAACUACAAAAUGGUUCUUGUGCAACUAAAGAAGUUGAAGAUGCCAACUCAUGUGGCAUUGCCGUGCAACUAUUAAAAAAGGUUGGGGAUGCCAACUAUCGAUUGGUUCUUGUGCAACUAAAAUUGUUGUGGAUGCCAACUCAUGUGAUAUUGUUGUGGGACUAUUUAAAAAGUUGAGACUGCCAACUCCCAAAUGGUUCUGGUGCAUCUAUGAAAGUCUAGGGUGCCAACUCGUACGAUAUUGUUGUGCAACUAUUUGAAAAGUUGAGGAUACCAACUCCUAACUCAUUCUUGUGCAACUAUAAAAGUUCAGGAUGCCAACCCAACACCUAGCUGGUUCUUGUGCAACUGUGUAAAAUACCACAUCCUAGGUUUCUUUGUGUAGAAAAAAAUAAAAGAAAAAAGCCUAAUGCCAUUUCAUGUUACCUCAGCAGCUACUUCAGUCGAUGUGCCGGCUCCAUCUACAACUCGAACCUGCGUGGUCGCCUUCCGUUUACACCAUUUCACAAAGCGGAAUUGGUAAGCAACCUAAAGGAUGCAUGGAAAAAGUUACUUAUCUCUGUGUGUGUGUAUGUGUGUGUGUGUGCGCGCGCGCAAAAAAGUGACAUGCACCCACACUGGUUGCUCGAUACUUGCCUCAUCAUCCUCUGCCACCCCGUCGAUAUCAACACGACGCGUCUGCCGCUCGAUGGGUCGUUUCGAGUUCUACCUAAAAGAAUGGUUUGCAGAUCCCUGCAUAGAACAAACAAAACCCAGAACAUGGUCAGGAAAACCCUCCAAAAAAUAGUUAUUAUAAUUGCAAAACAAAACUUCUACAAGGAUAAAUGAAAAACGAUGAAAAAGCAAACAUACCUCUCCUUCACUAGGAGCCGCAUCU
RNAcentral lists this long non-coding RNA (2466 nucleotides) under Triticum aestivum (bread wheat). Its description in RNAcentral is "long non-coding RNA (TAES_LNC014858)". Lineage: Eukaryota; Viridiplantae; Streptophyta; Magnoliopsida; Poales; Poaceae. The record is from RNAcentral.